AUGCGAUAAGUAAUGUGAAUUGCAGAAUUCAGUGAAUCAUCGAAUCUUUGAACGCACAUUGCGCCCUCUGGUAUUCCGGAGGGCAUGCCUGUUCGAGCGUCAUUUCAACCCUCAAGCCUGGCUUGGUGCUGGGGCACUGCCCGUGAUACGGCAGGCCCUGAAAUUCAGUGGCGAGCUCGCCAGGACCCCGAGCGCAGUAGUUUACACCCUCGCUCUGGAAGGCCCUGGCGGUGCCCUGCCGUUAAACCCCCAACUUCUGAAAGUUUGACCUCGGAUCAGGUAGGAAUACCCGCUGAACUUAA
RNAcentral lists this unclassified non-coding RNA (302 nucleotides) under uncultured Phaeocytostroma. Its description in RNAcentral is "partial contains 5.8S ribosomal RNA, internal transcribed spacer 2, and large subunit ribosomal RNA". The stretch from base 1 to 102 matches the Rfam family "5.8S ribosomal RNA", at positions 53 to 154 of the family's 154-position model. The record is from RNAcentral. Lineage: Eukaryota; Fungi; Ascomycota; Sordariomycetes; Diaporthales; Diaporthaceae.